Molecule: ribosomal RNA, 517 nt
Filed under: uncultured Hanseniaspora
Lineage: Eukaryota; Fungi; Ascomycota; Saccharomycetes; Saccharomycodales; Saccharomycodaceae
Description: eukaryotic LSU rRNA
Rfam family: Eukaryotic large subunit ribosomal RNA
Source: RNAcentral
AAACCAACUGGGAUUACCUUAGUAACGGCGAGUGAAGCGGUAAAAGCUCAAAUUUGAAAUCUGGUACUUUCAGUGCCCGAGUUGUAAUUUGUAGAAUUUGUCUUUGAUUAGGUCCUUGUCUAUGUUCCUUGGAACAGGACGUCAUAGAGGGUGAGAAUCCCGUUUGGCGAGGAUACCUUUUCUCUGUAAGACUUUUUCGAAGAGUCGAGUUGUUUGGGAAUGCAGCUCAAAGUGGGUGGUAAAUUCCAUCUAAAGCUAAAUAUUGGCGAGAGACCGAUAGCGAACAAGUACAGUGAUGGAAAGAUGAAAAGAACUUUGAAAAGAGAGUGAAAAAGUACGUGAAAUUGUUGAAAGGGAAGGGCAUUUGAUCAGACAUGGUGUUUUGCGCCCUUUGCUCCUUGUGGGCGAGGAUACGCAGCUCACUGGGCCAACAUCAGUUUUGGGAGCAGGAUAAAUCUGUAGGAACGUAGCUUUCUUCGGGAAGUGUUAUAGCCUAUGGGAAUACUGCUACCUGGGA